UGCGCAGGUGUGAAUGUAAGUCAGUGGUGAAAUACUGCCGCUUAACGGUAGAAUUGCCAUUGAUACUGCAUUUCUUGAGUAUGGUUGAGGUAGGCGGAAUGUGUCGUGUAGCGGUGAAAUGCAUAGAUAUGACACAGAACGCCGAUUGCGAAGGCAGCUUACUAAGCCAUUACUGACACUGAGGCACGAAAGCGUGGGGAGCGAACAGGAUUAGAUACCCUGGUAGUCC
This 229-nucleotide ribosomal RNA is filed under the name uncultured bacterium. RNAcentral describes it as "partial 16S ribosomal RNA". It matches the Rfam family "Bacterial small subunit ribosomal RNA", at positions 568 to 796 of the family's 1533-position model. The record is from RNAcentral.